AAGGUUCGAGUCUCACGCAGUGAGACAACGCGCUUCAGCGCGGCCCGCAGGGUGAGUCGCGCAGCGACGAAUUAUCCUUCCCCCACCACCA
RNAcentral lists this small RNA (91 nucleotides) under Serratia marcescens. Its description in RNAcentral is "partial RtT sRNA". It matches the Rfam family "RtT RNA", at positions 38 to 130 of the family's 130-position model. Rfam says of the family: This family represents a bacterial cis-regulatory element known as RtT RNA. The record is from RNAcentral. Lineage: Bacteria; Pseudomonadati; Pseudomonadota; Gammaproteobacteria; Enterobacterales; Yersiniaceae.